GACGAACGCUGGCGGCGUGCUUAACACAUGCAAGUCGAACGGAAAGGCCCUGCUUUUGUGGGGUGCUCGAGUGGCGAACGGGUGAGUAACACGUGAGUAACCUGCCCUUGACUUUGGGAUAACUUCAGGAAACUGGGGCUAAUACCGGAUAGGAGCUCCUGCUGCAUGGUGGGGGUUGGAAAGUUUCGGCGGUUGGGGAUGGACUCGCGGCUUAUCAGCUUGUUGGUGGGGUAGUGGCUUACAAAGGCUUUGACGGGUAGCCGGCCUGAGAGGGUGACCGGCCACAUUGGGACGGAGAUACGGCCCGGACUCCUACGGGAGGAAGCAGUGGGGAAUAUUGAACAAUGGGCGGAAGCCUGAUGCAGCACCGCCGCGUGCGGGAUGACGGCCUUCGGGUUGUAAACCGCUUUAGCCUGUGACGAAGCGUGAGUGACGGUAAUGGGUAAAGAAGCACCGGCUAACUACGUG
Molecule: ribosomal RNA, 468 nt
Filed under: uncultured bacterium
Lineage: Bacteria
Description: partial 16S ribosomal RNA
Rfam family: Bacterial small subunit ribosomal RNA
Source: RNAcentral